This 486-nucleotide long non-coding RNA is filed under the name Ictidomys tridecemlineatus (thirteen-lined ground squirrel). RNAcentral's name for it is "lncRNA (ENSSTOG00000031996.1)". The record is from RNAcentral. Lineage: Eukaryota; Metazoa; Chordata; Mammalia; Rodentia; Sciuridae.
UUUUUUUUUUUUCAAGUGUAACUUCAUCGAUUCUUCACAAUAAUCCUCGGAGGUGGCUAUUAGCUACGUUUUGCAAGCCGAGGAAAUUAAGGCUCAAAGAGAUUAAAAGACUUGCAUAAGAUCCUGGCCAAGGGGUGGAGCUGGAUGGGAACAGGUCUGUCUGACUCUGAGCUGAGCUGCAAUCAGUCCAUCAUGGCAGAAAAGUUGAGGAUGAAAAUUUGGGAGCGGAGAGAAAAAUAUUUCACAGAGAUCCCAGGAAGUCAGAGAAGAGCCAACCAGAUGGACAGAGAGGACAAGAAAGACAGGAUCAUACACAAAUACACCUAUUUAAAAAGCCAAGAGUGUUUAAGCCCAAUGUUACAGGCCACGUGUGUCACCAGAGAGGCCAGGAGGUGUUUGAAGAAAAACAUGGACUUUGGAACCAGAAGCUCAGGGUGAGUCCUGUCUGGGUUACUCACUGUGUUGACCUUGGGCAGUUCACUUAAC